UGAUAACAUAAAAGACAAAUAUGAUUGUCCUCUUCUUUCUUCUUCUUCUCCUUUUUUUUCUUUCUUUGUUUUUUUGCUUUGUUCCUUUUUUUUUUCCCCUUUCAAUCGACCAAAACGAUCUUCUCGUUUGCAAUUGAAGAAGAAACGACGGCGCCAUAUGUUUCCACGCGUGGCGCCACUUCUCCCAACGUUUAAUGCAAACGAUAACUUACAUACUCUUCAAUUACUCGACAGACAGACAGACAGACAGACAGACAGACAGACAGAGAGGGAGAGAGAAGAAAGGAAAAAGCAACAACAACAACAACAACAACAACGACUACGACGACGUCGACGAAAAAGAGAAGCGAACAAGUCACUCCUGCCUUCGUGAAUACGAUCGUGAUUGGGAUUGCGAUGCGGAUACAGUGAUCCAGCGCGAGAUAUCGAUUUCUUUGCUUGUCUCUACUGAGAAAGCGUAACGAGCGUUGACGAGUUAACGCGCAGUAUAUUCCGCUACAACCCGCAUUAAUAUAUACGUAAGUAACAUACGUACUUACGUACAGUCUGCGGAUGACCUCCGAAGACGCAGAUCGUGGGUCUUGGCAAGCGACCUCGAGUGCCCUCGAGGUAAACUCUCGAAGGUAACUCGAAAGAAGGAGAAGAGAACGAAGAAUGAAGAGAAGAGGAGAGGAGUGAAGAGAAGAGGAGAAGAGAGUUCAAGGAGGCGAGAGAGAUUCAAACGAGUUCCAUCCUAUUUCGUCCAUUUUUUUUUUCUUCUCCGCCAUAUAUUUUCGAUCGAACGAAGCGACUGUUAAAUGGCAAUUAAGGGAUCAACAUGUGGUUACUUACUUUUUACAACCUGUGGGCGCAACCCGAAAAAAAAAAAGGAGAAUCCAUGUUCCAUGGUUUGGCCAUGGAUAAACCGAAGAGAGGCGGAAAUUAAGUGAAGGGUUUUAUAGAGCCAUGCGACAUUCCUGAGAAACCGAAAGGAUCGAGAAACAGAGAGAGAGAGAAAGAGAGAGAGAGAGAGAGAGAGAGAGAGAGAGAGAGAGAUUGAAAGUCGAGGACAUUAAACUCUACCCGUUGCCACGAUUUUCGAUUAUUUCCCUUUUUCUUAAUCCCAAACCUGAGAAUUCUUUGGUUAUUCGCAAACCUCCUUGCCGAUUCCCUUCUGACGAUAAAAAUCACGGUCGUCGCGGAAGAGUCAAAAAUAUCAUCGGUUUCGAUCAGAUAAGAAAGGAAAGAAAGAAGGAAAGAAGGAAGGAAGGAAGGAAGGAAGGAAGGAAGGAAGGAAGGAAGGAAGGAAGGAAGGAAAGGAAGAAUGAAAAGGAUUACUUGGAACUCCUUCGAGUUCUUCGUUUGAAAUAUUUCCAUUUGGUAUGAGAGAACCAAACAUAACUAAAAAUCUUGCUUGGCAAUGGUGUUGAGAGGUUGACUCGAGGUCGGUAGAGGUUGGAUGAGAGGUGUUAGGGAUGAGAGAGGUAAAGAGGGAUAAGGUGGCGCGAACAAGUACGAAGGAUGCUGUGAGAGAUGGAGAGAGAGAGAGAGAGAUAGAAAAAAGGAAAGAAAGAGAUAGAGAGAUAGAGAGAGAGAGAGAGAGCGAGAGAGAGAGAGGAUGUAAUCUUCAAAGAACGAAAACGGUCUCCCUCGUAUUUGCUCGGCUGAUUCAUAGGCGCGAGGCGCGUCUGUCUCUUCUUCUUCUUCUUCUUCUUCUUCUUCUUCUUCUAACACACCAAGACCGCGGACCUAUCAAUAGCCCCUCAUGUACACUCGACAGAGGGACUGUCAUUCCACCCAACUCUAAAAAUAGAGUUCGCGCGUUCGUCCAUAAGCUCUUCCUGCGACUAUACCCACGGACAACAUUUCCCUUCUCUCUCUCUCUCUCUCUCUCAUUCCUUUUUUUCUGCUCAUUUUCUAUCUUUCUAGCUUAACACGCCUACAUACAUAUAUAUAUAUAUAUAUAUAUAUAUAUAUAUAUAUAUAUGCACAUAUACAUAAGUACAGAGAUAAGUACAUAGAGACGAGCAUGCACGGGUCUCUUAAAAUUUAAUUUAAAUAUAGUACAUUUUAUUUGUCUCACGUUUUAAUCGUGACGAAUCGAAAUCGAAAUACACAACGUGGCCGCUGUAUAAACGUCUCGGAGAUCAAGGGGCGAAGGGAAAUGGUCAGAAAGGGAUGAUGGAGGGACGGAAGGAGAGGGGAAAAAACGUAGGAACUAAAUUAAAGGCUUCUUCUAUUACUGAUAGUAGUCAAGGACAUCUUAUAAGAAGAUCGAUAGAAUUGAACUCUAUUAAAAAUGAUCGCAAGCACGGUAGGAUACAACGAUCGAUCUAUGGAUCUAUCGAUCUAUCUAUCGAAUUCAUGCAAAUGCACACGGAAAAAGAGAGAGGAAGAGAAAAAGAGAGAGAGAGAGAGAGAGAGAGUGUGUGAAGAUCGAAUUAAGUGCAUUCCUUUUCUUUUCUGCCUUUAUUUUUAUUUGUUUAUUUGUUUGUUUGUUUUCUUUUUUUUAAUCGCAAACAACGAAAUAUUAUGUUAUAGUUGAUAUAAUCAGUAUGAUAUGUUUACAGAAGAAAAUUAUCUCCUCGAGAUUAUAGAGUUUCUAGAUGUUUAAUGAGAACGGAAAGGACGAUUAAGAUACUAAACACUAAGAUUAUUCAAGUAGGCGCUUGAGAAUCGACUCCAAAGAGUGGUUAUAUACGUGUGUGUGUGUGUAUGUGUGUAUGUGUGUGUUUGUGUGUGCGUGUGUGUGCGUGUACGUAACUGAUAGAUAACUUUAUUGACUGGUCGCAUUACCAUACGGU
Vespa mandarinia (Asian giant hornet) is the source of this 2783-nucleotide long non-coding RNA. The record is from RefSeq and is a predicted model, not a curated record. NCBI's taxonomy places the organism in Eukaryota, Metazoa, Arthropoda, Insecta, Hymenoptera, Vespidae.